RNAcentral lists this ribosomal RNA (252 nucleotides) under uncultured bacterium. RNAcentral's name for it is "partial 16S ribosomal RNA". It matches the Rfam family "Bacterial small subunit ribosomal RNA", at positions 524 to 776 of the family's 1533-position model. The record is from RNAcentral.
UACGUAGGGGGCAAGCGUUAUCCGGAUUUAUUGGGUUUAAAGGGUGCGCAGGCGGAUUUUUAAGUCAGCGGUCAAAUCGUGGGGCUCAACCCCAUCCAGCCGUUGAAACUGGGGAUCUAGAGUGUGCGAGAGGUAUGCGGAAUGCGUGGUGUAGCGGUGAAAUGCAUAGAUAUCACGCAGAACCCCGAUUGCGAAGGCAGCAUACCGGUGCACAACUGACGCUCAGGCACGAAAGCGUGGGUAUCGAACAGG